AAGCGGUGGAUGAUGUGGAUUAAUUCGAUGCAACGCGAAAACCUUACCUACCCUUGACAUGUCUGGAACCUUGCUGAGAGGCGAGGGUGCCUUCGGGAGCCAGAACACAGGUGCUGCAUUGGCUGUCGUCAGCUCGUGUCGUGAGAUGUUGGGUUAAGUCCCGCAACGAGCGCAACCCUUGUCAUUAGUUGCUACAUUUAGUUGGGCACUCUAAUGAGACUGCCGGUGACAAACCGGAGGAAGGUGGGGAUGACGUCAAGUCCUCAUGGCCCUUAUAGGUAGGGCUACACACGUCAUACAAUGGAUGGUACAAAGGGUCGCCAACCCGCGAGGGGGAGCCAAUCCCAUAAAACCAUUCGUAGUCCGGAUCGCAGUCUGCAACUCGACUGCGUGAAGUCGGAAUCGCUAGUAAUCGUGGAUCAGAAUGUCACGGUGAAUACGUUCCCGGGUCUU
Molecule: ribosomal RNA, 453 nt
Filed under: uncultured Polaromonas sp.
Lineage: Bacteria; Pseudomonadati; Pseudomonadota; Betaproteobacteria; Burkholderiales; Comamonadaceae
Description: bacterial SSU rRNA
Rfam family: Bacterial small subunit ribosomal RNA
Source: RNAcentral